This 3035-nucleotide long non-coding RNA is filed under the name Heterocephalus glaber (naked mole-rat). Its description in RNAcentral is "lncRNA (ENSHGLG00000044415.1)". The record is from RNAcentral. Lineage: Eukaryota; Metazoa; Chordata; Mammalia; Rodentia; Bathyergidae.
GCGCAGUAGGCGGCGAAACUGCUGAACUAAAUCCCCGGGCCUCCUCUGGAUCUUUUUAGGAUGCUUGUCCUGGAACCCUGCUCCCACAGGUAAGGAUGCCGGACUCCGCCCUCGUGGACAAGCCCCGUGGAGGUGCUGUGGAAAGCGACCAGCUCAGCCCACAGAAAGCCCGCAGCCACUGCCAGUCACCAACCGGAAGACGAUCCUGCAUCCUGCAGCCGUUUGCUGAGCACCUACUGUAUGCUAAGGAUGCUGGGAAAGAACGGUGAGGAAACCUGGGUGCAGCCCGCGCCCUCCUGGCACCGCCUGGCCGGGAGGGAAAGAUAAUCAGAGCCCUGCUUUGCUCAGGCCCGGAUUUGUUUUUGUUUCCCUUUGGGCUUUGAUGCUAUCGCCAGAGGAAUUGGCCCGGAGUCCAGGCUGGCUGAGCCGGUUCCUGCUGCCGGCGGAAUUAGCUGGUCAGAGGGUCCGAUCCGUAGACGAAGGGGCGUCGAGUCGGCGCUAGGCUGUCCACCUCUCUGCUUGCCUCGUCCUCUGGUCUCGUCUGGUCGGCGGCGAUGCUCCUCCCAGCGGGAUCAGGUGUGCAGAUGUCUUGGUCGGUAGUCAGAUCAGCAGAUAGUCAGGUCAGCAGAUUGACUGGUCGACUGGUCGGUGGGACGGAUCGUCGACUUGCUUGAGGUCUUCAGCUCCUUUUAUACUAUUCUAACUGGGCGUUCGUGGUAUUGGUUCAGACUUAUCACACUGUCCAUUUCGGGGUACACCCUGUCCAGUUCAGUGUACGCCCUGUCCAGUUCAGGGCACACCCUUAUCAGUUCCAUACCGCUUAAGGUUCUACUUUCAUAUCUCAUGGUUACACAUCAUUAUGUUAUACUUAGGUUACAGCACUCUUAAAGUCACAGGACACUUUAGGGUUACAGCACACUUAGGGUUAUACAAUUCCAUCUUAUUUCAAGGUGUUCUCCACACCUGCGUUUGGGGUUCCAAAGGUGCCCACAGUCCUUGGCUUGUGGAUCUUCCCUCCGUCUUCAGAGCCACAAGCCCAGGGUCCCAGCCCUGUGUCCUGGCGUCUCCUGGUGAUAUAGCUGGAAAGGCCUGAGUCUGCGUACUUAGUGGUUAGCCAGGCCCACGGGGUUGGGCCAGGAUCCCACCCACGCAGAGUCCGGGACCCCACUUCCCAGAGCCCACGUGCGUGACAGUCACGGCUUCCCCGUGUGAGACGUGACAUUGGCAGCAGGAACAGUGCUGUUCUGCCGCCAGGGCCACAAUGAGUGGCAUUUCCUAGACACUGCAGGAUUUAUGGAGGACUAAAGGGUUGUGGAAAUGUUUACAGAGUCCAAGAAAGCGUGAGAGAGGUACAGCGGCCACACCUCGGAAGGUUUGCAACUUGAGAUUAUUUUAGAUUUCCGUGGGGAAUGACGGGCAAUUCAGGCUCCUUGCUGGCAGCCAGAGUAGGAGUCAUUCUUCCUCCUUUGAAUUUUAGAAAAGAUGCGUCCAAAAUAUACAGGGUCAGUGGAGUCUGAGUGUGAGAGGCCUCAGGCAGCGGUGACUCCCCAGGAAGGGGCUAGCGGGGCUGCAGCUGGCGCAGAGCAGGAACCAGUGUCCCCUGCAGGAGCCCCUGGCCACAAGCCAAGGUGCAAGCCCCGGGGACCUCGCCUUGGGGCUCAGUGUUCGAGGCACAAGCCCCAUGCUCGCUGUGGCCUGAGUUCCACCACCCUGGCUCCCCGACUCUGAGCGUCUCCCUGACUGCUGUGGGCCGCAGGCCCGUCCAUCUCCUGCCUGGAUCCCCUCAUCUCAAGGAGCCCGGCCCCCGUACUCAGGGACUCUCCCUCCUCCCAGCCCCUGGGCAUUAUGGACCUGCUUCCUGUCUGCCUGUGGAGUCCCUGCCCUGGACACUGGUGCUAGGAAACCCCACAGCAUGUGGCCUUCCUCCCCCCUGCCCUGUGCCCAGGCUCCUACAUGUUGCUGCCUAGACCAGCCCUUCUUCCUCUCUGGGGCCGGGCCUGGGUGAGCUCCUCUUGCCUGGAUGCAGGGAGUGUGUAUCCAUCUGUGCACUGCAGGCCUGGGCUGCCUCUCUGGGGUCACUGGUGCAGUUCAGAAAUGCCCCAGGCUGGGGGACCUCUGGGGGACCUUCCUGUGCCCUCCUUCUCCUGAGGGGACUUGGGGCACACAGGUGUCAGGGAGCCUGUCCCCACCCUCCAGUCCAGCACAGAUCUCAUAGAGGACCCUAGGCAGGAGCUUGCAGGGCCACAUGAUGGAAAGUGGCAUCCACCAGUGGCUGCCACCAGAGCUGGGGGCCUAGAGCAGCCCUGAGAUGCUUCACACGGGGCCUAGGGUGACCCUCGAGAGUACCAGACAUGGGGGGCAGAGAGGGGUUGCUCCAGCUGCCAGGGCUGUGCAUGGGGCUCUCCCAGCCAUGGCAGAGGGGACACAGCAGCACGGGCCCUGUGGAAGGACAUAGCACACCCUCCAGUGACACUGAUGGGCAGGCAGGGCAGGGGCAGGAGGAGGAAUUCCCCUCAGCCUCCCGGGCUCAGCCUCAGGCCCUGCAUGUCCCCAGCUGUGCUCGUGGAGGCCUGUGGCCACCGGCAGAGUGUGGCUAGCGUGUAUGCGUGUGUAGGCAGGUGUGGGAGGAGGCAGGUGUGCGUGUGUGCUGCCUUGUGAGCAUGAAUGUUUGUGUCUCAGUGAACAUGCCUGUGUGUGCAUGUGUGCGGGAGCCCGUGAUUGUAUGAGCAAGUAAGCACGUGUGUGCAUGUGUAAGCGGGGGUAUGAACGUGAAUGUGUGGCUGUGUGAGAGAGUGUGUCAGGGCACAGUUGCAGACAUGCGGUGUGUCGAAUUGGACCAGCACAGAUCCAGGGAGGCCAGCUGGGAUUCAGGGCCGCAGAAGAGGCGGACAGGGCGGUGACAGGAGGAAGGGGCCAGCGAGCACUGGGAGUCCCUGGGGCCCAGGAGCCCGAGCGGGAGUGGUGUGGGCAGGUCAAGUGUCCCUGUGUCCCUGGCCGCAAGGCAGCACCAUUGUCAUCCUGCAGAUGAAGGCUCC